RNAcentral lists this ribosomal RNA (427 nucleotides) under uncultured bacterium. Its description in RNAcentral is "bacterial SSU rRNA". It matches the Rfam family "Bacterial small subunit ribosomal RNA", at positions 355 to 774 of the family's 1533-position model. The record is from RNAcentral.
UGGGGAAUUUUGGACAAUGGGCGCAAGCCUGAUCCAGCAAUGCCGCGUGCAGGAUGAAGGCCUUCGGGUUGUAAACUGCUUUUGUACGGAGCGAAAAGGUCUGCCCUAAUACGGUGGGCUCAUGACGGUACCGUAAGAAUAAGCACCGGCUAACUACGUGCCAGCAGCCGCGGUAAUACGUAGGGUGCGAGCGUUAAUCGGAAUUACUGGGCGUAAAGCGUGCGCAGGCGGUUAUAUAAGACAGAUGUGAAAUCCCCGGGCUCAACCUGGGACCUGCAUUUGAGACUGUAUAGCUAGAGUACGGUAGAGGGGGAUGGAAUUCAGCGUGUAGCAGUGAAAUGCGUAGAUAUGCGGAGGAACAACGAUGGAGAAGGCAAUCCCCUGGACCUGUACUGACGCUCAUGCACGAAAGCGUGGGGAGCAAACA